UUCAGGCUUGCAAGGGCAGCUCAUCAUAGAAGGCAGCAGCCUUAACUGGAGUGAGGAUGGAAGACACUGGAGGGGAAGAAAACAGCUCUGGAGGAGAAACAGACUUACUUCCCUUACCCAAGUGGAGGAGGUGUGUGAGGAAAAGCUGCAGGGGUGGAUGGCAGGGUCCAGGCAAGAACGGAAGCCCAGAGUUCCAGCACCACAGAUGCCUCCUAGAGGACAAGAAUAAACCCCUAGCACGUGGGGUAGAUGGCAGAGCAGCUCUCCCUGGCUUCUCACAGGAAUCUAAAGAUGGGCUCCUUGGCUGUGUGCUAAAUGUUUUCACUGGAGAGAGGCCCUGUGUGGCUAACUCAGUUCCUCCAACCCUGAGAUAGUCCCUUGCUCUGACCUUGACCUGAAUGUUUGGCAAAGCUGUGAAAUGAAAGGCAAGAAUAGAAAAACAAGCAAAGAAAAUGAAAAGAAAACAUGCAUUCAGGGUAACCCCGUGAGGUGCUCAGGUGUCUGAUCAUCAAGUUUCCGUUGCAGUUGGGCCCCAGCAUACAGAGCAGCAACCUGACAUCCUUCUCAAAAGGAAUCUCAUUAUUAUUAUUAUUUGAAUAUGAAGCAUAAACAUAAGCAAUCAUUCUGGUGGAGGCUGAUUGGGGUUUUCAUCCUAUAGGGCUCGUGAAUAUUAAUUUCAUUUGUAGGUAGAAGUGUUAGAUUUAGAAAGAUCAGAAAUGGGUAAGAAUAAACAAAACCCCUACUUGUGUGACUCUUUGGGGGAAUUGUAUGGCAGCUUCCUACUACAUGUCCUACUACCAGUCACCAAGGAAACCAUGUAUAGGUGGACAGCUGGCUGAUUUUGUUUUUUAUUCAGUCAUUAUCAGUCAAUGAAUAGCUGCAGUACUUGCUCUGGGCUAUGGACAAGUAACCUACACACUUUGUCCAUCAUCUGGGAACUUAGGAAGUCUAGGGAAGAUUAAAAAGAAAAAGUAUAUGAACUUGAGACUCAGACAUGCUGGGGCUGAUCAGGCUGGGGUCAUGGGCAUCUCUGCCUGAGUUGCUUUGCAUGGUGGGGAAAGAGCCAGUGAGGGCAAGGUUUGUGGUCAGCACUUGUGGGGAGCUUAGGAUACAGGAGGGACAAAGAGGUUGAAUUGGUGAAGGGUGGCAGAAUGUGCCAUUCCCAAAUCUGCCAUUUUGACACAAGGAUUACAUAGAGCUAAAGGAACUUGAAAAACAGCAGAUGCAAGAAGGGCCUUCUAAUCUUCCUCCUUUCUUCUUGAAAACAGGAGAUAAAGACUCCCAUGUGAAAGGUGCCCUCCCUGUACCAGGAGAAAGGAAACAUUUUUUGAUGAGGAGUCAUAGCCAAGAGAAUUCUGCACAAACAGACCUUGUUCAAAACAAUUCUUAUCUUCCUUGAGCCUCUGUGUAUAAUUUUGUUAUUUUUGCACUCUUCUCUCUCUUUGUUCUGUCUAAUACAAAAGUAUGUAGGUUUGCCUUUUCUUUAGGUCUUCAUUUCCGGAUGAGUUUAUAGUGUCACGGAAAACAUGUUAGAUCUGUA
Marmota flaviventris (yellow-bellied marmot) is the source of this 1540-nucleotide long non-coding RNA. RefSeq lists it as uncharacterized. The record is from RefSeq and is a predicted model, not a curated record. NCBI's taxonomy places the organism in Eukaryota, Metazoa, Chordata, Mammalia, Rodentia, Sciuridae.